AGAACGAACGCUGGCGGCAUGCCUAAUACAUGCAAGUCGAACGAACUCUUCGGAGUUAGUGGCGCACGGGUGCGUAACGCGUGGGAAUCUGCCCUUGGGUUCGGAAUAACAGUUGGAAACGACUGCUAAUACCGGAUGAUGACGAAAGUCCAAAGAUUUAUCGCCCAGGGAUGAGCCCGCGUAGGAUUAGCUAGUUGGUGAGGUAAAGGCUCACCAAGGCGACGAUCCUUAGCUGGUCUGAGAGGAUGAUCAGCCACACUGGGACUGAGACACGGCCCAGACUCCUACGGGAGGCAGCAGUAGGGAAUAUUGGACAAUGGGCGAAAGCCUGAUCCAGCAAUGCCGCGUGAGUGAUGAAGGCCUUAGGUUGUAAAGCUCUUUACCCGAGAUGAUAAUGACAGUAUCGGAGAAUAAGCCCCGGCUAACUCCGUGCCAGCAGCCGC
Molecule: ribosomal RNA, 443 nt
Filed under: uncultured soil bacterium
Lineage: Bacteria
Description: bacterial SSU rRNA
Rfam family: Bacterial small subunit ribosomal RNA
Source: RNAcentral